UCCCAACUAUCCCUAUUAAUCAUUACGGUGAUUCAGAAACCAACAAAACAGGACCACCGUCCUAUUCUAUUAUUCCAUGCUAAUGUAUUCAGACGUAAGCCUGCUUUGAACACUCUAAUUUUUUCAAGGUAAAGGUCCUGGUUUCCCACCACGCUAAAUUAAUAACAUGAUGGUUCCCCAGAAGGUAGGAAUUCUACACGCUAGUACAGACUGGUUAGCCCGACCAACGGUAGAACCCCGAAAUUCAACUA
RNAcentral lists this ribosomal RNA (251 nucleotides) under uncultured Scutellospora. RNAcentral's name for it is "partial 18S ribosomal RNA". Lineage: Eukaryota; Fungi; Glomeromycota; Glomeromycetes; Diversisporales; Gigasporaceae. The record is from RNAcentral.